This 253-nucleotide ribosomal RNA is filed under the name uncultured bacterium. RNAcentral's name for it is "partial 16S ribosomal RNA". It matches the Rfam family "Bacterial small subunit ribosomal RNA", at positions 524 to 776 of the family's 1533-position model. The record is from RNAcentral.
GACGUAGGGCGCGAGCGUUGUCCGGAUUUAUUGGGCGUAAAGAGCUCGUAGGCGGCUUGUUGCGUCGACCGUGAAAACCCGGGGCUCAACUUCGGGCUUGCGGUCGAUACGGGCGGGCUAGAGUUCGGUAGGGGAGACUGGAAUUCCUGGUGUAGCGGUGAAAUGCGCAGAUAUCAGGAAGAACACCCGUGGCGAAGGCGGCUCUCUGGGACGGUACUGACGCUGAGACGCGAAAGCGUGGGGAGCAAACAGG